RNAcentral lists this ribosomal RNA (488 nucleotides) under uncultured bacterium. Its description in RNAcentral is "partial 16S ribosomal RNA". It matches the Rfam family "Bacterial small subunit ribosomal RNA", at positions 29 to 507 of the family's 1533-position model. The record is from RNAcentral.
ACGAACGCUGGCGGCGUGCUUAACACAUGCAAGUCGAACGGUGAAGGGAUCAGCUUGCUGGUUCUGGAUGAGUGGCGAACGGGUGAGUAACACGUGAGUAACCUGCCCCCUUCUUCUGGAUAACCGCAUGAAAGUGUGGCUAAUACGGGAUAUUCUGCGCCUGCUGCAUGGUGGGUGUGGGAAAGAUAUUGUUUCGGUGGGGGAUGGGCUCGCGGCCUAUCAGCUUGUUGGUGGGGUGAUGGCCUACCAAGGCGGUGACGGGUAGCCGGCCUGAGAGGGUGGACAGUCACACUGGGACUGAGACACGGCCCAGACUCCUACGGGAGGCAGCAGUGGUGAAUAUUGCACAAUGGGCGCAAGCCUGAUGCAGCGACGCCGCGUGAGGGAUGGAGGCCUUCGGGUUGUGAACCUCUUUCGCCAGUGAAGCAGGCCUGUCCCUUGUGGGUGGGUUGACGGUAGCUGGAUAAGAAGCGCCGGCUAACUACGUG